AUUUGGCUGUGUAGGAUUCUUGAACUCUGUUAUGCAUUUUGAUUUAGCUCAUUGUAUGGUUUGAUAUAAGAUGGACACGCUUGUGUAUCCAUUACGUGUAUCCAUGAGCGGGCCCACCUUAUCAAGACAUAAGGAACAUUUCUACCUGAUGGAACAGCUUUACAGAUUCAGUAGAUUCUGAGCUUAAGUGUUUUAGAGGAUUUCCGAAUCACCUCUUGCGACACAAGCAGUCCAGGUGGUGACAGCUACGGUGCCGCAUCCCAAAGCCAGUACACCAAAGAAGAUGUUCUUACCAGAGCCUAGACUAGACGCAAUAUCUUCAUGCAGCUUUAAAUGAACAGUUCCAAUGUUCCAUUUUCUAAGGGCGGAGGUGAAGAAUAUUAGUCGAGACACGCGUGUAAUACUUGUACGAAAGUGAAGAAUAUUAGUCGAGACCGACGUGUAAUACUUGUAAUUACAGUUUCCGUUCACUUCACCACCACCAUUACUCUCACUUCAACUCUGAUUAUCAUCAA
Long non-coding RNA from Helianthus annuus (common sunflower), 515 nucleotides. RefSeq lists it as uncharacterized. The record is from RefSeq and is a predicted model, not a curated record. NCBI's taxonomy places the organism in Eukaryota, Viridiplantae, Streptophyta, Magnoliopsida, Asterales, Asteraceae. The transcript is spliced from 3 exons.